UUUUUAAACAAAAAAAAUAUCCCCAGUUCUUAUGUUUGAGAAUAUAAAAUCAAUAUAAUUAAAUAUAACAAAAAAAACAAUGCCGAAGAUUAUCUCAACCGGGCCUAUUACACCCCACACCGAGUCAGCACCAUCCGAUGGCGGGGGAUCGAUGAUCAACCUUCAAUCUUAACCGGGAAAGCAAGUUUAGGUCAAGUCGCACCAAUGGAACAUGAACUUCUUUAAUCAGAAACUCAAACCCUAAGUGAAUUCUCUUAGCAUUCUAGUUUGAGAGAGAUGAAUUCUCUUUUUACUACACCCUAAAACCCUUAGUUACAAAUCUAUAAUUGAGAAAUGGGAGAGAAAAGACCCCAUAGCUUAAACUCUUAGCCCCUUUUUACAAUGUGGAAGAGAGAGAUCAAAGAUGAGAGAGUGGGGCGUACCCCCUUUGGGCUUUUAUGAGAGAGAGAGAAACUUUAGAAAGAUAAAGUGUAGAAAUUUUCGGUAGAGACAAUCGUUUUUUUAUAGGCUUAGAACAAGAUUAGGGUUUCUUAGGGUUUUUCUUGGCUUGCCUCUUCUUGUGAGAUUGAAUAUGAACCAUCGAUCUUGUGUGACAUGUAGGGUGAGAGAUUUGAGCCAUCAAUUCCAUAGAUGGGCCAUCAAUAUGGAAUGUGCUAGAACCUUUAUCCUAUUUUCUUAAACCAUUUUCCCAUCAGUAGAAAUUAAAUAAAAUAAUUUCAAAUAUAAUAUUGAGCAUACCAAAAUAAUGCACAAGCCUUCUCAUGCUUUUCAAAAAUUCAUUUAAAGCUUCCUCAAGCCAAUACCGUUCCAAAACACAUAGCAACUUAGCCUACAAGCCAAAAUCACUUAUCACAAAAAUAGAAAUGUUCUAAAUGGGUGAGGUAUGCCACCCAUGAGAGGACCUCAUGGGCUCCACCAUCUAGGCCAUGGUGGGCCCAUGUGCACAAUGGGCCCCUAUACAAGUUUAAAUUAAAACUCAAUAAAAUAAUUUUAAAAUUUAUUUGAAUAUUUAAAUCAAUGUAAAAUCAAUAUCUCUGAUUUUAUAAAUCCAAAUUUGAUAAAUAAACUAUCCAGAGAUCUAUAAAAAUUCAACUAAUAAUUCUAAAAUCAUAUAUAUCAUAAAACAAACAUAAAUAAAUUCAUUAGAUGGGAAAAAGAUCCAUAUGGUCUAGGAAUUAAUUCAAUCAAAUAAUGGGGCACUCCACCUUCAACUGUGGACUACGGACCACACUUGCUUUAUCAAACUGACCCAGUGUUUCCCAUGACUCAUUGUCCAUACAGGGGCUCAUUAGUGGGUUACUAAAACCUGAUCGAUAAGUCAAGGGGUCAUAAUUCCAGUCAGUGGAUUUCAGGUUCUCCCCUAGAGACUGGCCAAGGUCACCAAGUUUUGAUGCAACCACAACUACUAUGGUGCAUAGAGGUAUCUCUCGCACAUGCAUACGUUUCACUCUGAAAGAUGGAUUGCUCUCCUGAAACGGUCUAUCAAUAUGCAUGCCGUGUAAUAGUACAUAGAUGAGGCUUUGGCCCUGUCUUUGAAGGCCACCAUCACACACAAUUGUCACACAGUCCCUCGACUUACUUAUCCGGGCAUACUCCGACCUCAUCAAGGGGUUACCCAUUAGAACAUUUAUCAGUUUAUACUCUAUGCCCAGGUAACAUGAAUUUUUCUUAAAAGACUGGCUUAGACCGUCAAGUACAAUCUGGUAUCAGCAAACAUCAUUUACUUAAUAUGGUCCACGACGGACCAAAUAUCCACUGAAUUUAUGUUCCACUAUAUCAUUUUAUUUUACAAACACUUUAAUUACCACACUCAUCCAACAUACUGUAGUAUCUUUCAUAUAGCACUUCCAAUAAAAUAAGUUAAGAGACAAGCCAUGAUGAUGAAGGGAAUUAACAAUUGAUGCAAUUAUCCCUUCUACUCUCUACCAACAUUUGGUGUCGAGGGAGCAUUCCCUUAGGCAAAUGGCUCGUCCGAGUCCACAUGGGCUCAGAAAAGUAAUUCAGCCUAGGGGCGAGGUUCUAACUCGGUCAUUGGGCAAGGCUGAGUUACCCAGAGUUAUGUCUAGACCUUAGGGAGACAUAAAAACUUCCGAAAAAAUAACAAAAUCGUAAAAAAUAAUGAAUUGUCCUAUAAAUUAGUAUAUUAUUUGAAUGCUUUGGAAAAAGACUCGCGAGUACUUUUUGCCAUAAUAUCUCUUUUACAAUUUUUUUAGAUGUUGCCAACUAUAAUUUUUUUUUUCAAAUCUAUUUUUUAUAUUUUUUUAUGUUUAUUUGGACUUUUAAAGUUGCUUUUUGGUUUAUUUUACUUGUAUUAUCUUUCUUUCAUUUUUUUUUCGAACUUUUCUCCUAUGUUUUUCUUUAAAUUGGUCGAGUAAUUUGCCUUAGCCAAGGACGAGUCAAUUGGCUGAGGCAAGUUUUUAAAUAUAGAUAAGAAAUAUUAGGAUCCAUUUCACUAGAUAAUUAAUUCAAAUGAGUACUUGAAUGCUUAUAAACAUUCAAAAAAUGGAUCGGUGGCUUGGAUUGAGCAGACCAAAAAUCGAUCUAGAUCGGUGAAUUAGCUAUCCAGAUUGCCAUUUCACUGUGCAGAAAAACAGUGAAUCGGUGAAAAAAACAUGUGAAAAAAAACAAUGAAACGGCGAAAAACCGGUUCGGAUCACCAUUUUACUAUAGAGAAAUGUCAUUUUAGUUUGAAGAACUGUUGAUUCCCUUGACCUGACCGUUUUCUUAUAUAUAUGUAGAACCGGAUCGGGGUGACCAAUUUCUAGAUCGGACCUAGUGAUUCCGACCCAACAUUUUUUAAAUCACAUCCUACAACAUUAGAAGACCUUCUGUUGAGCUUUUCUACGCUUGUCACUCGGUUCAGUGGCUUACCUCCCAAUGUAUGUUUGUGUCCUAAAAAUAUUCUUAACUAAAGUUAUAUGCUCCUCUGGCAACAUGUUUCUUCAUAUUUAUUUAUGGAAUUUGUUGUAGCUCAAAACUCAGCUAGAAAAUACAGCCUUGUAUCUUGUAACAAAUUAUGUGUCUAUGUGUUAUAUAUUUACAAAUUUUACACUAUUUUGGGAACAUCAAUUUUAAUAAUAAAUAGAUUCCAGGCCAUAUGGUUCAGUUGGAUUUUAGAUUUUUAGGUGAGGCUUCAAGUAAACUCUAGUUAUUAUGUGACCCAUUCGAGAACUCCUAGGUCUUACAGAAAAAAUAAAGCUUCAUCUCAAAACUCACUCAAAAUAUCACAUCUAGUAUUGGAGAACUUUCAAAUUGAUCAUCUGACCAUUAUGGUUGUGAAAAGAAAUUGGAUUUCAAGCAUUGGAAAUAUUAUAUAUCAUAACACAUUAUCUAGGUCGUGCAUUUUCAAGUGUUCACGGAUACACAAGAUCUAUACCAUUUUGUGAGCUACAAAUUUCAUAACCACUAGUAGAAAUUAAUUUUUAGAACCAUCUGGUAGCCAAAGUAUUUUACUGACGAGGUUUUAAUGUGAGGUUUUACUCUUUUUUUCAUAAAUCUCAGCCCUUAUACAAAUUACACCAUAUUAUAUAUUAUGAGAAUAUAAGUAAUGAACCGAUUACUAGUAUUGAGACUUAUAAGUAAUAAACAGAUUACCAGGCUUGAGACUUUUCAUCAUCUUGAAACCUGGCUUUGCUCGACCCUUUUCAUUAUCUUGAAACCCUCUUGAAACCUGGCUUUGCUCGACCCUUUUCAUUAUCUUGAAACCCUUAGUAGUGAUAAAUUAGUGAGAUAUGAAUUUUAUUAUUUUCAUAUUAGUCUCCUCCAAUAUCUCAAUGAU
This 3778-nucleotide long non-coding RNA is filed under the name Amborella trichopoda. RNAcentral's name for it is "long non-coding RNA (ATRI_LNC000864)". The record is from RNAcentral. Lineage: Eukaryota; Viridiplantae; Streptophyta; Magnoliopsida; Amborellales; Amborellaceae.